Molecule: long non-coding RNA, 4830 nt
Filed under: Triticum aestivum (bread wheat)
Lineage: Eukaryota; Viridiplantae; Streptophyta; Magnoliopsida; Poales; Poaceae
Description: long non-coding RNA (TAES_LNC010027)
Rfam family: MIR1120/MIR1122 microRNA precursor family (bases 1289-1413)
Source: RNAcentral
GAGGUUUUACUCUCUACUACUAGAAACGACUGGGAAAUCUAAACUUGAGAAUCGGAAUCCGCGAUUUUCUGAGGGCCACACUUCUGGUUAUGUUGCGCAAUACCAUCUCAAUGUUGAAACUCUGUCACCGGCGCUUACUGCAACGUAAAUGGCUUUGACCCAAGCCCAUAUAGCGCCAUUCGUCUUAUCUUUACCCGUUGCUCUAAAAGGCUGUGGUGUGUACAGUAUUUAAUUCCCAAUGAUCACCUUGAUCUUUGAAAAUAAAAAAAACUAUGAUCUUCGUGUGUUUGCAGGAACAAAGGACUAAUACACUAUGUCAAGAAUUUUGCACAUUCACACAAUUGUUGCACCAUCAAACUAUUGAGUCUCAUUACGUACUUCUGUUGCUGCACCAUCUGCGGUUCAUGUUUGUUCUGUGCAUACCAAAAUUCUGGCUUCCAGGAGCACCGAAGAAUGUACUUAAUUUUUGUCUGGGCUAUGUGUUCAUUGAGUGUAAAUGCCUCUAUGUUCAUGGCUAUGGAUCAGUCCCUGCAAAAUCAGCAAAUGUGUGAUAUUUUGUUAUUAUUUCUGUUCUUGCUGAGCAUAUAAAUGAGUGUGAUCGUCAUUUCUGUUGUCAGGAAGAUGGCCCAAAUGCAGUGGUAAGAGUUGAGGUUGCUGCUGACAACAUGUAGCGAAAAAAGGGCACCAAUAUAUACAUAUUGUGAGCUUGCUGAUAAAUUGUCGGACUUGCUUAAUCAUCCAUAUCAACCAGUAUUUUAAAUGUUUAUUUGAUGUGGAUGCAGCAUAGAGUAGUGUUCUCCUUUUGCUAUUGCUUUUAAAUUCAAUGUUCAGUGCAAUAAAACAGUAUGUCUCCUGCUGACUUUUUCAAAAUUGAAGCUAACUGGUGUUGAUGUUGUGCAACGUCGAAAGUUAGAAUCUUUGAAAUAAAUGGACAAAGUAGUUUCUUCUGUAUAUUAGAUCGGACAAUCCGUAUAUACUAGAAGUACAUUGUUGAAUCUCAAAUCAAGAGGACGGUAUCUAACUGGCCUUUCAUCUAUUUUUCUUUUUAAGGAACCGGAAAGUUUAGCAAAGUCAGUACAAUGGGCAAGAGAUCAGUUAAUUUGUUAUUCUUGUUGCUAAUAAAGAAAUUUUUGGGACAAUGGUUGUAGCAAGAUUUGUGCUUACAUUUGUACUGUGGAUGUGUAGAAGCAACCACAUUGUUGGUACCUGAAGGCACACUCAACAAGAUUAUCGACCCUUUUAUUAUUUGGUUUGCACCUGACUAUCAUACAUUCCAUUGUUUGUUAGUCAUGGACUUCCUCCGUCCGGAAUUACUUGUUGGAGAAAUGGAUGUAUCUAGACAUAUUUUAGGUCUAGAUACAUCUAUUUUUAUCCAUUUUCGCAAGAAAUAAUUUCGGACGGAGGGAGUAGGUGACAAGUGAUGAUCUACUUACCAGAAGUCUACAAGUCGGUAUAUUUUUCUCUUCAACUCAUCACCUUGGUAUUUUUUGUGUGUUCUUCAAGUCUUGACGUGGAUGACAUCUAGGGGACUUGGUGGCUUUGUUUAAAAAUAUUCUGUAAAAAAAUAAAAGGAUAAUAAGAAAAUUCCAAAAAGGAGAACUAAUUAAAAGGAUUUUAUUUUUAUUUUCCCAUCCUCAUGGCCUUGCUAUCUUUCUAAUUAAUACGGAAGUUAGUUGCCCCCAACUCCAGGGAAUGGGUCAGCCAGUAUAGAAUUCCGGGAGGCAGAAUUUACAAGUUGGAUUUCUACCCAUGGAAGCGACGGGGAUACCCACUGGGAAUGAGACUACCUAAUGAUCCCUCGGUGUUCAAACUUGCUUGGUUCCAGUCUAUGAUACUUUGCUACCAGACUAGUCCUUGCUUCCAGUGAAAUUACCAAACUGGUCAUGUUCAGAUAAUAAUGGCAAACACAAUUAAUUAAGCUCAAGCAUAACCAAUUAUUUGGUCAUCACCAAUUUGGACAGAUGGGUAGAUUUUGGACACAGACAAACAUACCCUAGCCUUCGGAAACCAGCUGAACGGGCGGGUGUUGGUUGCAAACUGCAUGGCAGACAUGUUUCUUAAUUAAAUAAACUAGCUACAUAUCUCACAGCAAUAAAGUUCUCAGCUCUCUCAUCCUAUAUAAUUGAGUUUAUGCGCACUUGGAUCAGAUACUGUAGUUGCUUCUUUCAAUUUGCACCAGGUAUGGAAAAAUCAAUCAUUUUGCACCUAUGAGGCCACUCUAAUUUAGCACUUGGAACCAACUAAAAUGAAAACCAACCUGGAGCCACAUCCCAGUCCACAGCCAUAAGUUGCCGCCGUGGAAAGCACCUAGCCCCGAAUCCACAGCGCUGAGGGCGGGAGCAAACAAAGCAACCAAGGAGAGACAGGGAGAGAUGGCAUGUGCGGUGCUGACCAACAUGGCAGCCUGCAUGGCCCAAUUGUUUGGUUUUCCUCCUACUUGACGCAAAGUGAAUUUGGAAUGGCUCCACUAUAGCAAAGCGAUUGGUUUUCAUAUAGCUGGUGCAAAGUGAAUUUGGAAUGCUCCACUAUAGCAAAGCGAUUGGUUUUCAUAUAGCUGGUGCAAAGUGAAGAAGCAACGACAAUACCUGGUCCAAAAGUUCAAUAAACUCUCUACUUCGCGAGGUUCUCAUAAAUUACAUUCCCGAGCUCUCUCUUUCUCUUGUUAUCCAUCUUCCUUGUUAUUAAUAAUCCAGCGAAAAAACCACCUACUGUUGCAGCACAAAUCAUCCAUGUCCUCUGCACUUCCUUCGGGACAAACUCCCUACGAGCAUUCAAAGAGCUGGAAAGAUGCCAUAAUUAGCGUACCUUGCCCAAAAAAGGAACAACUGAAAAAUAGGUUUUAUGAGGAACACAUAUUAUAUAGAUGUAUAUACUUCUCAAUGAUGCGCGUAAGGAUAUCAUUACUCAAUGAGGAAACCUUGGUUGCUCGAACCACCUCAUACAGUGCAUCUAACUAUACAAAUACAAACGAAAUAGUUUGAUCAACAUUGAAACGUAAAAUCUUCAGAAGACAGGUAGGUAAGCUGAAGCAAGGAUUCGUAGUAAUUACCCAGUGUCUUUUGUUUGAUGUUUUUUGUCAUUUAAAGCUGAUUAUCCAUUUAUAAAUAAUUUUGUGUUCGGUGUUUUUUGGUAGCUGCCAUUAUCGUGUAGGCAUGUAUUUCUCUUAUGAGCCGGUUGUAGUAUUUAUCUUCAGGCUGUGUUAGCAUGGACUUCUUGGCUCGAUUUAGUACGCUGGUUCAUGUCGGUCAACUUAACUAAAGAACCCGAUUCUUUUUUAUGGCGGUAGCCUUCUUCUAGAGUUUCCUCGUAUGAUCUAUGUAUGUGGACCUCAUAAACACUGGGCCUCGGAGGCAACACAUUUGGAAACCUAAGGUGCCGCUCAAGAUUAAGAUCUUCAUGUGGUUUCUGCAUAGAGGGGUCAUCCUAAUUUGGCAAAACGUAGCAGAGGCAUAAAAAGUGUUGCUUUUCUGAUUACAAGAGGGAACAAAACAACAUCUCUUUCUUUUGUGUCCAUUUGCCUGCCUUCUUUGGUGUACGUUUCAUGUAGCUUUCAACUUACCUCCACCUAGUAGUGUAUUGAACUUGUUCGAGAACUGAUUGGGUGGGAUUCAUCCUAAGUGUAAGGCACACAUCCUUGUGGGAGUGUGCGCUUUUCUCUGGGCCAUAUAGAGAUGCCGUAAUGACCAUGUGUUAAUAGAACGAAGAUACCAAAUUUUCUGAAGGUCAAUUUCCAAGCUACAAGAUGGAUCUGUACGUGCUCCUUAAUUCAGUGUGCGGAAGCGCAAGAGUAUAUGUAAUUUGGGUGCAACCGAUGAGAGAAGGUAGCACGGGCUCAACCAAUUUGGAUGGCGAUCUAUUAAUGGGCUAUGUGUGUAGGCAUGUAUUUCUCUUAUCAGCCGGUUGUAGCAUUUAUCUUCAGGUUGUGUUUGCGUUGUAUCGGAUGACAUGACUUAUACCCUAUUUAUCUUUAAUAAAUAUAUGGUCGUGUGCAUCGCAAUGAUGCCGAGGCUGGGGGUUAAACCUCCAUUUUGAAAGAAAAAAAAGCUUAGAAGUAACCCAGUAUGGUACCACUAAAUAAUUUGAUUUCUUUAUCACUAGAAUCGAUACUCGACAAAUAUUAAACCAAUAUGCUCAGAAAUCAGAAUUGAGACUUUGCACACCGCUGAGCAAAAGAGCUAUACUCACUUAGACAAAUCUUUGAAGAUGCGUAGGGUAUGAUGACUCAACAAUUUUAUUUUUGCAAGCUAAGGCCUGAGAUUAGACAUAGCAACUGGUAAGUAAAACUUGGAGCACAUGACUGCAUUUACCUAUAAUUUAAUCACUGAUGGAGUUUGGCAAUUUCGUAAUGCAUUUAACGAACACUUGGGGCGCUAUCAAUUUCGCUGUUGUCAGCGGCUAUGCAGUUCCGAACAACAAAAAUAAGGAAAAAGUUCGGUUCAUUAUGAAGUGACCCAAAUAAAAUGCGCGUCCAGUUGAGUGUUAAACGAAUUAAACCUGAACGACGUAGGACGCAAAAAUCUCGCUUGAAGCUAGGCUAGGUUAGGGAAUCAAGAUUCCGCAGACUAGACAGCCAGAACCAGGGAGCGCCUUGCGGCAGAUAUCAAAGAGGAUCCAAGGGGCGAAAUUGGAAAAAUCACCUCGUCUAGUGGAGACUUGGGAGGCAAAUCAGCUCGAGUAGAGGAAUGCAGCCGACGGCUGUGUGAGGGCCGGAGCGCGACCGCUACUCCCUCUACUCCUGAAAGCCUAGCGGCGGCCGCCGCUGGGAUGGCACGGCGGAAGGCGGACCCGCGCAGCACCGUCGAUGUCAUCCCCCUCCUCUCUCUCUCUCUC